Molecule: long non-coding RNA, 360 nt
Organism: Haliotis rubra (blacklip abalone)
Lineage: Eukaryota; Metazoa; Mollusca; Gastropoda; Lepetellida; Haliotidae
Exons: 4
Source: RefSeq, a predicted model, not a curated record
AUGGAGAUGAACAAGAAAAAGUGCAAAAUAUUGGCCUGAUGCGACCACGACCGAAACCUACGGAAAAUUCGCUAAUAACGAGGAUGUUACAAAAAGAGCUGAUUACACAAUUUCUACUUUCCUGGUGCAAUGCUCUGGUGUCGAGAAAACUCUGACGCACUAUCACUUCACAUCUUGGCCUGACCAUGGUGUUCCUUCUGCUCCUGCCCUCGUCAACUUCUGGAGACUGGUCAAACAGGGGGACAUGGGCUUGGGACCCAUGGUAGUGCACUGCAGCGCUGGGUAGGCCGAACAGGAACGUUCAUUGCCCUGACUACCUGAUGGAUGAAGCUGAGAGUGACAACAGGGUCAACGUGUACA